ACCGUGACCAACUUCCCAAACUCAAUGUCCACCAGAAUCCACAUGUGGUUCCUCGAAAGAAGUGAAGUAGAAGAGGAUCCAAGUUUUGAAUGCCUACAUGUCUCAGAGGUAGAAAUCUCCACCAUAAUCAGAUACAAUCGCGUUGGACAUAAGAUUGAGGAAAUCUGACCGCCUCAUUUUUAUUCCAGGAGCUGGAAAACAAUAGCUGUAUUGUUCAAUCGAUCUUACAAGGGUUAUAUGACUCGAUCAAUGAGCAUAUCAGCUGAUGGACUCCUAUUUCCUAGAUGAGUGGUGGCGAUGAGAUCGAAAGUAGAUGUGGCCUAGGUUUUUCAUCGACAAUUGGUAUGGUGUGGGUGCGGAGGAAACAGGAAGCUACACGAGAACAAAGAACUCAAGAAGUUCGUGGAGCGUUCGAGUCUCACGUUUCUUUAUUUUCUGGUUCCCAAUAUGGUGUUGCUGCUGCGACAUGGAUUUUAGUCUCGAGCUUCAUCGGAGAAGAAAGAUCGCCAGAUAGGGAGCAUCGGUCGGAGAUGAAGAUAACAUUGGAAGAUUAUUUGUGUUGGAUGCGUUUUUCUGGAAAUGAAUUGUGUCGACGUUUAAUAAGGAGGUAAGACGUAAUUUCAAGUUAAUAGUUAGGUCAAAUAUUAUUUGGGCUUAAGUUAAAGCUAAGUUUUGGGCUAUCUAAUUAGUUUAGUAUUUUUAAAACCAAACAUCUAUUUCUUUUGCAUAUUGGAUUCAUCUAAUUAAUACCUUAUUUAAUUUUUGAGAAAUAGAUAACGCAAAAUUAUAUAGAUUAAAAGGAUAUUAGUUUAUAAGAAUGUAUUUUAUAAAUAGAACACAACUUUUCAACAACAUUUUGUAUCUAUAAAAGAGAUAUCAUAUAAAUAUAAUGAAUAUUUUUUUUAAAUACAUUUAAUCAUUUGUGAUUAAUAGAUAUAAUCAUAUUUGAUUAUAAAUCAUAUGUAAUUAAAAGAUAUAAUGUAACAUCCCAAAAAUACAGUCUAAAAAUUUCGUUUUAAAUUAAUAAUAAAACCAUAGUCAUCGAACAUCAUAUAGAAAUCAUAAACAGUGUAUCUCAAAAUAUCAUAAUAAUUGUCAAAAUAUCAGAGUAUAAACUUCCCAGGCUAAAAAGAUGGUGUGUGCACUGCAAUCUUCCUGAGCUCCUCUUUUGAAAACUGAGUACCUGAAACCAAAACUGAAAUUGUAAGCAUGAAGCUUAGUGAGCUCCCCCAAACUACCACAUACCAUACAAUAACAUAUAAAGCACAUACUGGGUCUUGCUCACUGCAUCAGACCGAAGUCCGGAACUAACUAGGGCCUUGCCCUCUACAUCGGACCGAAGUCCGGAACUGACUAGGGCCUUGUUCUUUGCAUCAAACUGAUGUCCGAAACUGACUAGGGCCUUGCCCACUGCAUCGGACCAAAGUAUGGAACUAACUAGGGCCUUGCCCACUGCAUCAGACCGAAGUCCGGAACUAACUAGGGCCUUGCCUACUGCAUCGGACCGAAAUCCGGAACUAACUAGGGCCUUGCCCACUGCAUCGGACCGAAGUCCGGAUCUGACUGAACAUAGCAUAACAUAAUCAUAACAUAUACAAUAACACAUAUACUGCAUCGGACCGCAGUCCGCAACACAUAACACAUAGACAUGCAUGAAUCACAAAGACAUCAAGCAUACUGAACUACUUCUCGGGACCACCCCAGCAUCGGACCGAAGUCUGGAACUACUGCUAUCUAAUCGGGUCGGCAUUGUGGGUGUAGACCAGUUCCUACUCGAAGGAAACUCACCUCACAUGCUGAAGUCCCGCUGACAAAACCAUAGCUAUUGGAUGACAGAUUCCCGAUCUGUCAAUAUCAAAAUAACACCCAAUUAAUAAUUGGGUUCCAACUCAUAGUCAUAAGUCCAUGCUUGGGUAAGAGAUUACCUUACCCCAAUGUUAGCUUGAAUCAAGCCCAAGGCCCAAUCCAAAGGCCCAAAGGUCUAAUAAUGGACCAAAGCCCAACUAUGGCCCAUUUAUGGCCCAAUUUUCCCAAUUGGGCCCAAAUCUCUACAUGGUCUUGAUCAAAAGCCCAACCAUUUAGUUCAGUCCAACAUUUGGCAUUCUAAUGGCCCAUUAUCAUAUAACCAUCAAGGCCCAAACUAUGACCCAAUUUUCCAAAUUGGGCCCAAACCCUCAUAUGGGCCUUACCCUAAGACCAUUAAAUUAUUCUAAUCCGUUUGCUUGCUCUUGGAUGGUCCAUUAUUAUCCCAAUCACCAAGGCCAAAUAGGAAGGCCCAACUCAAGUCCAAGUGAAAUUAGGGUUUCAGAUAAAAUGACAAUUAAGGUUAAGUGUUUCUCACUUAACUCAUUAAGGACUUAAUCCAUUAAGUCCUGUACUCUACUAGAUAAAUGAUAUGGAAUAAUUUGGGCUUAAUUACACAAUCCAAUCCCAAUGGCCCAAAGGUGGGUCCCAAUAAGUCUAAGGCCCAAAUACUCACAAUUAGGGAUUUCUACCCAAACAUGGCCCAAUAGGCCCAAAAUUAAUCUUUAAGCCGAUUAGGGUCUUGCUAGGUCCAUUAGGGUUUUGCUUGGGGGGCACCACCCACUACCACCUCGGGUAGUGGUGGUCAACGGCGGUUCACGGUGGCGGACACCACCUUACGAUGGUGGUUAUGGUUCUUUUCAUUACAUUUUCUACUAAUUACAAAUACAAGUUUUUAAUCCAUAAAUAAACACACACACACACACACACUAACUACUCUAACACACACACAACCACUCUAGUGGUGGCCGGCGGUGGCUUGUNNNNNNCAGCCACCACCUCACGGUGGUGGUGGUGGCUUUUCCCAUGAACUCCAGCUAGGCAAAACACACACACAUACUUUAGAUUGCACACAACCCUCCAGCCACCCACCUGGUGGCUCAAGGGGACAACAACGAUGAUUUUGGGAUGGCAACCACCACCUCACGGUGGUGGCGUUGGUUUCUGUUGGUUCCUAGACAAGUAGCACCACACCCACGCGACUUCAUUUGCAAGACGCACCCAUCCACCCAACUGGUGGUGUUUGGCAAUGGCAGCAACAACUCAAGCGGCUCAUCGGUGGCAUAACGGUGGCUAACAACGGCGAUGAUGUACAGCUGGACAAGGUGGCAACAACGAUGUACCAUCAGAAAGAAAUGGAGAAAAGAGAAGGCUGAGCGACGGGGAACUGAGCAAGGGAACGCACCUGUAACAUCCCAAAAUUCAAGAGUAAAAAUUUCUUUUAAUAAAACAUUACUUAAAGCAAAAUCAUCAAUCCAAAACAUAAUCAGAGUAUUAAUUUCCAAAAACACAUGUUCGUUAUCAGAGUAAAACAUUCCCAGGCUGUCUAAUCUAUGGUGUGUGCCAUGCGAUCACCCCGAGCUCUUCCCUCCGCUACCGGAAGUACCUGAAACCAAAACUGAAAACCGUAAGCACGAAGCUUAGUGAGUUCCCCNNNNNNNNNNNNNNNNNNNNNNNNNNNNNNNNNNNNNNNNNNNNNNNNNNNNNNNNNNNNNNNNNNNNNNNNNNNNNGGCCCCGCCUGGCUGCGAGCCUCGCUCGGAUACAGAUUUGUUUCACUUAGGCCUCGCCUGUCACUGGGUCUCGCCCGCCAACAUAUAAUAGCACAUAAACAUAUCACAUCACAUAAGCUAAACAUAUACUAACGGAUCCUAUCAUAAGGCCUCGCCUAUCCUGGGCCUCGUCCUUGUCCUGCUACGGAGGAGUCAUGGAACCCCGUCCAUGCUCCUACUGAUAGUGAGAUACGGGCCCAACCCACACUCACUCUUUCCCUAACUUGGGCCUCGCCCUUGAUCUGUUGCUAAUGAGAUGUGGAACACCAUCCACACUCUGCUAUUGGUGAGAUACGGGACCUCGCCCACACUCACCUCCCUACCAGGCACAUACAAGUAUCACACAGACAACAAGUAUAAACUAUCACAUAAACCAUUCCUUGGGCACCCGCCCGCUAUCAUUGGACCUCGUCCCGAAUAUCAUACUAGCAUACUGUGCCUAGGGCUAACCCCCGGGUCUUCUACUCAUAACUACAUGGGCCGGCAUUAUGGCCUUAGACCCAUUCACACAAAGGGAAACUCACCUGCACUUGCUGAACUUGCUGAUAGCCCCUCUAGCCGCUAUCCGACAACUCUUUGAACUCCUGCUCUACUAGCUCCCCGAGCUACCAAUAUCAAAGCAACACUUAGUCUAACUGUCCCCCGAAAGUCAACUAAGUCUCUGGUCAAAGUCAAAGUCCUGGUCAAAGUCAACCUUCUAGGUCAACCCUACUCGCCGAGUCUACCUACUGACUCGCCGAGUUCAUUAACUCAAAAUCCUUUCAUCCGUGACUCGACUCGCCGAGUCUACCGAUUUCCGAGUCCUGACCUGUCCAACUCACUGAGUCCCUACAUAACAGACUGAUCCGAGUCUUAACUCGAAGGGUUUGGGGUUUCGCGUCUCGACUCGCCGAGUCCAAGGCAAUCUUCAACAGACUCGCCGAGUUGUUCUUACAACUCGCCGAGUUCCUGCCCAACUUCAUCCAACUCCCCGAGUCGACCCAUGUGACUCGUCGAGUCGCUCUAGUUCUUAAUCCAUACAGUGGCUUUUCGAGCCAUGCAGGGGCUCCAAAUCAUAGAUCCAUACUUCCAAAACUCAAUCCUCACGUAAAGUUGCAAACUUUACGUAUAACUAAAGAGAUCUUGGCUCAAAACACACUAGGGCUAGGUUUAAGGACAAAAGGGCUUCACCAACUACUCAUCUUCUGAUGCUUUAUGACAUAUUGGACCAUCCCAACACUAGAUCUGAAGUGGCAACAACAUAUCUAAGCCCCCAAACUCGAAUUGGGUCUCAAACAACCAUAAAACCCCCAAAUCUCAUAACAAAAAUAGAUCUAGAUGCAAAGGAUGGAAAAUAGCAGCUUAUUACCUCCAAGAUGAACACAAACUGAAGUAGAUCUCAGAUCUCCACCUCUCCUUUGAAGCAACCUUCUUGAUCUUCAAGUUCCUUUCUAAAGUUUCCUUCCUCCAAAGCUAUUUCUCUCAAAUGGUGGAAGCUCACACGGAAUCUAGGGUUUACAGGUUCUCUAGGAUGAUAUGGAGGCUGAGGGAGGGACAUAACACCCUUUAUAUAGGAUACAACUCCCGGAAUUAGGGGUUUCUUCGUUCAGACCAGACUCGCCAAGUCCCCUUAGCCGACUCGCCGAGUCGGUCACUUACUCCUCGACCCGGAUCCCGCUCGGACUCGUCGAGUUCGUCCUUGAACUCGACGAGUCGGCCCUUUGACUUAGGGUUUCCUUUCCUUUCUUGACCUUCCAGAUUUUGGGUGUUACAGCACCCGAUCACAGCCACCCUCAUAGUGGCCCAUGGCAGUUUUAGGGAAAGCUUCAUCCACAGCCACAACCUCUGAUCGAUAAACUGAUGGUGGCGAUAACUCGACGACAGAAGAAACGGAGACGAGGGGGCGGCGGAAAACGAUGGCAAUAGAACUCAAUAGAACCCACCUUGAUGAACGACUACUUAUUGUCUUCAUCGAACCUCGGUGGUUCUCCGGCAGCAGCGUCGCAAUGACCACCUUCCAUUGUAGUGUAUCUGUCGGCGGUAGGCAUCCCCGUUGAUCGGAAUAGCGAAUAGAAGGGAGGUGGUGGUGGAUGACUUCACUCAUGGCGGCUGGAACCUCUUAGGUUUAGGGUUUGGGAGUAAUAAGGUGACGGGAAGGAAAGGUCACCGGGUAUAUCCGCUCCAAUACAAAUGUCCUUUCACUUUUGUCACAUAUAGCCCCUCCUUAUCAGUUCUUAUUCAAAUUAAGCCCCAAAAUUUACCUUUUAGCCCCCGCCCCCAAGAAUCUAUUCAAUCUAAGUCCAUAAUUUACCAUUUAUACCCUGCCUUAUGAAUUCAAUUUCAUAAUAAAUCCUAAUAAUUACCAAACAUACCCCCACUUCUAAAAUCCUUCUCAAAUUAAAUUCAGGAAUUUACUAAACAACCGCCAACUAUCGAAAUUCUUCAAAAUUUAGUCUGGGAGUUACAUUUAUUAAUUUAUUUGUUUAUUUAUUAAUUAAACGGGGUGUUACUACCCUCCACCACAUAAUUUGGAUUUCGUCCUCGAAAUCAACCUUUAUAAUUCCUCACAUGCCAACCUAAUCAAGUAACCUGGCCACAACCCUGGGCACACCCAAGACAUCUCAGGGCACCCGUGACCAACCCGCGUAGGGUUCUAAAAUUGGUAGAUAAAUGAGUUCCUCGCAACAAGAUCACAUCUACUCCAUCUAAAAUUUGCUGUCUCGAGAUAGUAUGAAUCCCUGACAGACUGCCCAUACUGAAAUCAUUAUCGAUGCACGCAGUCCACUUGUCUCUCAAAUGCUUACUUAACUUCUGAUAACACGAGGUUCCCAUUAGAAACAGAAUCAUAGAUCCCCUUAUCCCUACGAUUCAAUUGUACCUGGCCAACGCUCUGAUAACCCCGCUGUGAGUGACUUAGCAUAACCCAAGCUAUCUGUGAUUCUAACCAUACAUGAAAUCCCAAAAUAACAUUACUGCUGGAGACCUAAAACUGUCUGAAACACUGAACUUCUGGAAACACUGAACUACUACAUGACCAUUGGUAGCCUCAUGUCAUGAAUGACCUUAAGCAGUCCCCUGCUUCCUUGCUCUCAUAACUUUAGUGGCGCUCUGACAGUCUUAUCACCGGUUCAACCAUAUCUAAUCCAUCUAGGUAAUUCCAAAAUCCAAUCCGUAGAUUUCCAUAUCCUCACUGCUACACCCGAACUGGUGGGUACUAUUGUUCCUUCCGCGACCUAACAACGCUCUCACGUUAUCUACCAACCUAGUAAAUGCUUAUGGCUACACCCGUAAACUUAUAACACUCUACCACUAUUUGGCUGCUAGUGAAUGCUAUGACUACACCCACAGACUUACAACACUCUAUCACUAUCUGGCUGCUAGUGAAUGCUACAGCUACACCUGCAGACUUACAACACUCUCCAUACUGGAUCGACACAUGCUUGACCCGCACUCACUUGAACUCAUGUCCUGACUGAAAUCCUCAACCUGAUUCCUUAAGGUUUUCUGGAAAACAUUACGGGAACACCAUCUCCUUAUUGGCAAGUUUUUCCGAACUUCCAUCUCGCACUAUCCUCAAACCAUACCGCUGCUUGGGCUGUCUUCCUUCCUGACAAGGAUACGAAACUUAUCCCAGUUUCAAAGCUUCUCCUACUUCUGAAUCCUUGGAUGAUUCUCCCCCACUUUGAUCCAAAUAACGUCUUACAUCACACAAUACUGGAAGGAUUCUCAAUCCUUCUUAUCAUUCCAUGCCCAAUCUGUUGAAAACCACGUUUACCAUUGCUAGUGUUUCAAUACUAGCCAGUCCAAAAGAUCACACCACCUCCAUGAACCCAAAUAAAUCUCCGGUAAUAACCCGCUAGACCCAGGAAGCUCCGAAUCUCAGUUGGAGACCUCAGAAUCUCCAACUGCAUCCCAGCCUCUAUCUGGGCCGGAUCAACUAGUACACCCUUCUGGUUGACAGGGUGCCCAAGGAGUUGCACUUCACGCAACCAGAACUCACAUUUGGAGAACCUUGCAAAAAAAAUUCUCCCCCUCCUCAAAGUCUCUAGCACCUCCCUCAGGUGCUUCUCGUGCUGCUCCUCAGUCUUGGAAUAAACCAAGAUGAUGUUGUACUCUCCCAAUCCCGCAAUUUGGGAAAUGAUCUUUCGCUAUCCACUAAUAAUUCUCGAUAUGUAGUACGGAUCUCACACACUACAAGUUCCCUGGUCUUAUCUCAUCCUUCCUUGAUUCAAGUACGAAUCCUCUGCUUUCAGUAGUACGGGCCCAUACUGAUGGGUUUUGAGCAUUCUAACACCCCUAAGUAUACAGGAAACCCUAUAAAACCUUGGAUCUAUGUUUGUCUAAAAUACAUGAAAAAUAUGAUUUCCAAGGUUCAUAAUCCUAUCUAGCAUACAUGGGGAACUUUUAAUCUAAAAGAUGGCUAGAAUUACAUACCUUGUAGUUGAUUUGAUUCCUUAGAAACCUUGAGAUCCUAGCACCCCAAGUGUGAUGCCUUAAGUACUUCACACAACACCAAAUGCUUUAGAAUAACUUUAGAGUAUGUAUAACACUUGUAUAAAUUGGCUUGCCCUCUCUUGUUCUUAGUGUCAAGUCACUACUAGAAAAACAGCCUUUUACGACGCUCAUUGUGCGUCGUAAAAGGCUUAGACGACGCGCAAAUGCGCGUCAAGGAAGGCCUUGUCAUAAAGAGAGACGAAGCGCAUUUGCGACGCUCAUUUACGACGCACAAUUAUGACGCACGUUUACAACACGCAAUGCAUAUCAAGGAAGGCCCUGUCAUAAAGGAAGACGACGCGCAUUCGCGUGUCGUGACCUUACGACGCGCGUGUUAAUGACACACAAUGCGUAUCAAGAAAGCCCCUGUCAAGAAAGGCCAUGCAUAAAUUAAGAUGACACACAUUUUUUGCAUAUCGUAAAUUUAAAUGUUUAAAAAAAAAUUAUAUAUUUAUUAAUUUUUAAAUUAAAUUUGCAUUUAGUUUCUCAUAAUAGAAAUAAAAUACCAUAUACAAAAAAUACAAUCAAUUGCAUAAUAUAAAAUAAAAUUUCAUACUCAAACAACAAAAUAAAUUGCACAAAUUAUAAUGUCAUACAAAGAAUCAUUCAAAUGUUAAACAAAAAUAAUGCAUUGCUACAUGGGUUAUACAUUCCUAUAAAACUAACAAAUAAUCAUACAACUCUGUUUCUUACUGGAAAGGAAUGCCAAACAUGAUUACAAGUCUCCCUUAAUCUUGAUUACUCACCUGCUUAAGUAGAAUGCUAUUAUUGAGAAGGUUACCUAGCAACAGAGAAAAUCACAACGCCUCUCCCACAAUCACAACAUCAUUUACAGAAAAGGGUUGUCAAUUACUUUCAUUAAUAAUUUCAUUCAAUCACAAAAAUAUUAAAUAAAAGGGUGAAAAAAAUAACUUACUUUUGAUAAGUUGAUCUCCCUUAGAGCAAACACAGCUAAAGCAUUGAACAAGACCCUAUUUCAAAAUUUUGUAAAUACACAAAUCAUGAUACCUGAUACUGGAAUACACACUUUGAGACAUGAAUUAAUACGAGUAGAUUAACCUGGAUACAUAGGAAGUAAAGAUGGAAGGUGCCAGAACUCCGGGGGCAUUGGGUUGGUUCCUUCCCACUCGCACACACCAAGCCAGAACUCCACUUAAUCCAACACCAAAAUAAGCCUGCAUUUAGAAAGCUGCAGGGGUGAGUCACAAUUCAAGAAUCUGUUAAAAUUUGAGGAAUAACAAGUUCAACCAAAACAAUAUUAGAAAACAGUGUUAAAUGUGAAUCAUAACAAUGUAAUAAUUAUCAAGGUGCUGGAAUACUUGAAAUCUAGAUUAUUUACCUUUUGAUUGUAAAUCUAAAGAUUCCUCAUGCACAGAUUAUGUUCUUGUCAACUCUUGCACAGUGGUAAAUUUCAAUUUAGCUGGUUUGUCUGUUCUUUUCACCUGAUCUUUUCAUCUCUAGGCAUCCUAUCUAUUUAUUCGUUGCAGACUAGUGAGCUUCCAUCAUUAUGUUCUUGAAAUCUUGAUUGUUAAACUUCUAAUUUUGAAUCUGAGCUUUUUAUUACAAUGUUACUAUUGUAGCACUUACUUAAUGCACACAUAUUUACUAUGAUUAGGUUCUUGUCAACUCAUACAUGAUGUUAAAUUGCAACUGAGAUAUCCAUUAAAUCCACGUAAAAUGACUAUUUCGCCCACAUUUUUGUAUUUUUACUAAUUCUUUUGUACAUUAACUCACAACAAUGAACUUUGAAUCAAAUGAUCCAGACUUCCAUUUUACUUCUCAUGAACUGUAUCGUAUUUCUUAUUAGGAAUCAAGUUUAUUGAUGUUAAAUCAACUCUCUUAACAUUUCUUUCCUAUCUUGUAGUUUUUACUAGUUUGCUUUAUAACAUUAAUGGUAAAGUAAGACUGUUAUCUCCUGACAUUGAUGAUAAAAUAGACUUCUUAAUUCCAAGUUCAAGUAUUCCAGCACUUUGCUUUAUAACAUUAAAUGGUAAAGUAAGAAAUAACCUUUAUGUUGUUCGAGGAAAACAAUAUUUGCCUCCAUCCGAGAUUUGUCAUGCAAUUGACUACAAGAGAAAACCUAGAAUUUAUUUCACAAUACAUAAAAAAUAAAAAUAUUUAACGCUCUAAAAGGUAAUUAAAAAAUCCAUUUAACAACCUGAUAGUAGGUCGCUCUGCUUCAAGGACAGCGGAAAUCAGUUUUUCACCACCAGUGACAAGAGCUAGCCUUGAUGCCAUUUUAUGGAAGAAUCUUAUCUGUAAAAAGAAUAAUAUAUGAAGGGUUCCGAUCACCAUACACAUUGUCCACACGACCUGUCACACAUAAUUAACCCAACCAUAGUUAAUCAAUCUUUAAGCACAUCAAUCAACAAUUCAGGAUUCAAAAAAAAAAUUUUUAAUUAUUCAGAUUAAAUUUUAUGCAUGAGAGAGAGACGAACAUGUAGUAGGCCAGAACUUAGCUGCACGAAGCCAUGGUGCAGGGUAAGCUGCAUAUUCUAUGGAGUAUGGUUUUGUCCACUUAUCAGCCAUGAGUAGUUGUGGUGGAUGAGGUGCUCCCUACAUUUUUUUAAAUUUCCAUCAUUAUCCCUAAUAUAACUCUUGAACAAAUAAUACAAAACAGUCAGAACUUAGUUAUUGUUAUAAUUACCUUGAUGACAUUGUUGUUGAUGUUCACCGUUCCUUUCUCAAUUUCUGAUAUUUCUUGUCUAAUGGAGAUCAAAGCAUCACAAAACCUGUCCAACUCAGCCUACAACACAAAAAUUCCACAUGUUAUGUCAUAUAUGUAACGCCCGCAAAUCCGGGCUAGUCAAUUUAGAGGAAAUAGGGGUCGAAAACGACUUUUUGACAAAAGAUUAUUUAGAAUAAAUAAUCUUAACCAAGUUAUGGAAUAUGUCUCAAGGUUUCCGUACAUAUAAAGAACGCCGAAAUCCGAGUUAUAACGAAGAAGUUAUGGCCCGUCGAAGUUUUACGGCAAAACCGGCACGGCGCCGGGAAGCGUAAAUAGCGAAUUUACGAUAGAGCGAGAUUUAGUGUUAGCAAUCUAAAAAAAAGUUGAAGAAUAUGUUAAACUAAGAGCGUCGAUAAAAAGAACGCCCAAAUCUGACUUCGUAUGAGGAAGUUAUGAUUUUUCUAAGAUUCGGCUUAGCAGUGCACGACCCGAAACUCGAAUUUUAGUUCGAGCGGGUUUUGGCUUAUGCGACCUAAAUGAGAGUUGAAGAUCUCAUUAAUAGGAACUCAACAGUAAAAAGAUGGACAAAAACGGAGUCCGUAUGAAGGAGUCACGAAUUCUUUGCGGUCAUUUAGCAGUCUAAUCUUCUCCUACUGUUAAAUUUAAGAUCGGUCAAGAAUUAGCCAAUGGAGUCUAAAUGAAAGUUGUAGAUCUUGUUUUUCAAUACGUGUGGAAAAAAAGAACGUCAAAAACGGAGCUCAUAUGCGAGAGUUAUGAUAUUUCUAAGUCGGGAGGCUGCUGUGCGAAAUCGGGUGACGUGGCGCAAUCCUAGCCGUUGCUUCCUCCCCAAGGCUAGCCACCAGAUGGUGACACCUGGCCUGGAACUCGACGAGUUUGAGACCAACUCGACGAGUUUGAGGCCAACUCGACGAGUUUUUGGCUUUUCGAGCCUAUAAAAAGGGUGCCGGGGCAUCCUCAUUUCUCAGCCCUUCCAAGUUCUCUUUCUCUCUCUAGAAUCUCUCUCUAAGCCUCCCUAACCCCCUAAAGCCAAGGGUAAACCCCCUAGCACCCGAAGGAAGCCCCGAGGCUCCCGGAGCCUCGAGAAAAAAGCCUUUCGGCUCUGGAACGCUGCUCCAGCGAAGCCUGGUUUUGCGAAAAACCCGCUGUAAGUGAGUUGUACCUACCCUAUCUUUAGUAUAGCUAAUGAAAGGAAAGGAAAAAACAUUAUAACUUUUAAAGAAACUUUACCUUUUUUUUUUUCAAAAAAUACCUUGCUUUCACUUUCAGUGGGUUCAAUCAUUAGUGUUCCUGGAAUUGAACAUGACAUAGUUAGACCAUAAAACCGGUAAUCAAUCAGACGUUUUGCAACAUCUUCUGGCUCUAUUCCAGCACUUGUCUGAAUAUGAAUAUGAUUCAAGUUAGUUUUUAUUUCUUUUUGACUUAACAAAAAAUAUGACUAAAUAAUAUUAUAACUUACUUUCAAGGGUCUCAAAUCAACGAUGAACUCAUGGGCAACUGUUCCACUCACACCACGGAAAAGAAUGGGAUAGUGACUCUGCAAUGUAAUUAAUCCCAAAGGAAAAAAAUUGAGAACUUGAUAAUAACAAUAAUUAAAAAAAUAUUAUAUAUUUGUUCUUUAUGAAUAGAGAAAGAAAGAAAUUGAGACCUCAAGACGUUUUGCCAUAUAGUUUGCAUUCAAGAUAGCUAUACUGUAUGCAUCUGUAAGUCCUUGAGAUCCCAUCAUGGCAAUGUAUGUAUACGAUAUAGGCAAGAUAAGUGUUGAACCCCAAGGUGCUGCUGAAACCGUGCCAAGUGGCUUACUCUACUCAGGGGCUGCCUCUAGUGGCAACCAUUAAAUCAAGAUUUACAAAUUAAUUUAUAUAAACUUAACAACAUAUUACUCUAAUUACACAUAAACAUCAAACUAAAAAAAUUAUUGUUUUGUCUUACCACAGGGUGUGAAGGCAAGUAGGGUGCCAAGUGUUUCUUCACACCAAUGGGGCCCAUUUCGGGCCCACCACCACCAUGUGGAAUGCAAAAUGUCUUGUGAAGGUUUAGAUGACAAACAUCAACCCCAAUCCACCAUGGACUUGUUAAUCCAACCUGUAAAAAAUAAAAACCAAAUAAUUUUUAUAUGAUGUUUCAAUUUUGUUAGCUCCAUUAAAACGACACAAGAAGUGCAAUGUUCAUGUACCUGUGCAUUCAUAUUCUCCAGUAGCUCCAACAUUUGGUUGCAAAGAGAAAGAGUCAAAUCCGGUUAUGGUACACAGAAUGUCCCCCAAAUUCUUGAACACUUCCUGCAAGAUAUUUUUUUAUGUUGCUCUCAGGUUAAAAAAAAGUCAACAGAAAUAUAAUUUGGAAUCGUAAGUCAAAAUUAGAAAGAUUUGAUUACCUGAUACCCCUAUGCUUGUUGGGUAGGAGCAAAAGGAUGCAUAUCUGCAAAGGCUGCCAUGUCACAGGCAUCAUCUCUGUAGUUGCAUUAAGCUUCAUGGUGCAAUAUCCCAAAGGAAUCAUACUGUGGCAUAAUGACAGAUCCUUUGACUGCAGCUUACUAAUGUAUCUUAGUAGCUCAUGCUCCGUAUGAUAACCAAAAUAAAUAAAUAAAUAAAGAAGCAGGAAAAGCCUUUUACAUGUUAAAAAAGUGACUAGGUUUUGAAAAAAAGUAUCAUGCGUGUUGAAAAUCGAAUGAGUCAGAUAUGGAGUCUCUCUGACAAGUCCGGAAGGGAUAACAUCCUGAACCUCUGGUGCAAGUGAUGUGGCACUGAAUGUCACCUAGAAUCAAGAAUCAAGAUUCUUGAUUUAUAUAAAGAUUUGUUAUAUCAAAAGAAAGGACAAACUCAUGGGUUUUCCUAAGGCAAAAACUUUGAACAUCCUGAACCUCCGCCAUGAGAACCCACUUCAGCUUCCGCCGUUAUUUCACCAACUCCGGCCAUUAGAUGUAAUCAUGUGUGCAGAUACUUACAUUACCAAAGAUAGGACCGGAGGCAAGAGCGGAUGAACUUGGUUCAGAAAACCAGAAGGGUGAUUAUGGUUUUCCAGAGAGAGAGAGAGAGAGAGAGAGAGAGAGAGAGAGAGAAUGCACAUUAGGAAUGAUGCCCUCAGCCAUUGCCCAAGCCAAUCAGAUACGAAAUUGAGGGCUUUAAGCACAGUGGGAUGAAAAUAUCACAUAUAGCUACAAUAUAAACAAACGGAUCUAGAAGUAAGUAAUGUUACUGGUAAGAAUAAUUAGCCGACAGUCAUAAAUGAUAAAUGCAUAAAGUUUUUAUUUCACUUGAAGAGAUUUUCUACUGAGGUGACCUAGAUUUGGUUCUUUGUGAUCUGAAAUAUCAACGAUUCAAGAGUGAAUUACUUGCUUAUUGUUAUGAUCUGUAUAGAAUUCAUUUAUGUUUCUCACUCAAAAACUUGAUUGUAUAGAUGAACAAAUACUAAGAUGAUCUCAAAUUGACAAGCGUAUAAUCGCAGAAACAAUUAGAAACAACCAACGAGCAAAAUGCAGGCAAGCAAACUUUAAAUUAUUCAGGUAGAAAGCACAAAUUGCAUAUCUAGUUACAUUCAUUUACAAAUCAAAUCAGAUUAACUCAAGUAUUAUAAAUCGGAUUGAUCUAAAUCAAAUCAACAUGAAGACCGAUCUAUUCGAAAGAAGUAACGGAGGAGAAAACGACUUACGGAUAGGAGACAGAAGGUGGAUCCAGGACUUAGAACCCCAAUCGCCAACAUCGUGAGUGAUGGAGGCGUUGAUUGUUGAUGAUGAAGGGCCGUUACGGUUUCAUCAAUUUCGAGUACGGUAGUACUAGGUGGGGGAGGAUAAGAUAGCUUCAAAGAAGGUCACAAAUCUGGAGCAAGGAAGAAGGAAGACAUCGUUGCGAAUUGACGGUGGUUGUGUCUAAGGUUAGAUUGACGGAGGAGGGAGAAAAUGGCUCUCUGUAUGAUUUUAUGAGAGAUAAGGGAGAUUACUUCAAAAUUUUAGAAUUUUCUAAUUUUAGAGGAUCCCUCUUUAAAAACGCGCGUUUAAAUGAAAAAAAAUGUAAAGCGACAUUUGUAGACGACGCCCAUUUAAUUUAGGUGCCCUCCAUGUUUGUAAAUUUUUUUUGUGGGACAAUAAUUUUAGGGCAUGCACAAAUGCGUAUCUUCUAUCCUUCAAAUUUUGGAAGGCUGACAUUAUUUUUAAGAACACAUCAAAAUGUGUAUCGUAAAUCAGUGUGUGUCAUUGUUCGCACGUCAUUAAAGGGUAUUUUUCUUGUAGUGAGUCGAUUUUGGUGUGCAUCAAGUUCUUUAUAUAGUGUGUCACAUCUAGGGUUACACCAUGUAAACCCUAAUGUGACAUGAGUCUUCAUUUCCAUGACCCAUGGGUUUGUAACUCCCAUGGAGCAUCCUUUGGGUUUAACCCAACUUGAUAAUCCAUGGAGCCUUUUAGCCCACUAUACAAGUUAUGGAUGAUUUACAUAAUCAACCCAUAUAUUUAAUUAGUUAUCUUUUGAUCACUUAAUUAUUUCCAAAUUAAUUCUUGAUCAAUACUAAUUAAAUAAUACUAUUAAUAUAUUAGAACUUAUAAUAUAUUAAUAAACCACAAGUGUUAUUUCUCUCAUUUAGUCUAUCCAAAUGCAUGGUGCCAUGCAACCCAAAUGCACCAUGCCGGGUUGGGUCAAGUACAUACAAAAUAUAGUUAUGAACUUAGACACCUUAUCCAACACAUACUACCUUCCACAUCUAUCCUUACUUUCCUCAAAAACUGCCUUGACUCCACCAAGUCCAUUCUACUGCUACUGCUCUCUGCUACUCUCAUCCUAGGAUUGUCCUAGGGUAAUCACCUUUCCACUCUUCGCCAUCAGCUGCAUAAGAAGUCCCAGCUUUCUUCCCAUAACUAGCUCGCGAAUACUAUUACAUAUCACUCAGACUAGAUAAUUCUUCGAAUGAGAGAUCCUACCCUGCAAUGGUUGGACUCAAACAAGAGCUGCGUAAUAGAGCUAGACCUAACCUUCUGAAAUUAUUUAAUCCUCGCAAUAUGUAACGUAACAUAUUCAUUUACUAGUUAGUAAAAGAUAGCUAAGACUCCUAAUAGCACAAAGCAAGCAACAUUCGAGCAUCGAGUACACACAAUCAAGCAUCUACUACUCUGGUUAUCAUACUGACAAUUCUGUACUAGCAUGCAGUUCUCAUUAAGCUGGAACACAUAUAACGGGUGUAUAAGGCAUCCUUCCUAGAUCGUUAGUCCUAAUCUAGCAUGUUGUUCUAAAUAAGCUGAUAAUCAGAACAUAGCAUAAACUUGUAUGGGUAAUUUGUGAGUACUUACUUGAACUUGGCUGAUUGCACGCACGACACCCCUUUUUCUCUUUUCAAAGUUAUUUUCUUUCAAAAAAAAAAAAAUCUUUUUGCUUUUCUAAAACUCUUUUCUUUUGAAAACUUUAUACCACUUCCUUAGUUUGAGUUUAUACACACUCGGAAGUGCGUCCGAAUCCCUCAAACCAAGGCUCUGAUACCAACUUGUAACAUCCUAAAAAUACAGUCAAAAAAUUUCGUUUUAAUUUAAUAAUAAAACCAUAGUGAUCGAACAUCAUAUAGAAAUCAUAAACAGUGUAUCUCAAAAUAUCAUAACAAUUGUCAAACUAUCAAAUUAUAAACAUCCCAGGCUGAACAGAUGGUGUGUGCACUACAAUCUUCCCGAGCUCCUCUUUGAAAACUGAGUACCUGAAACCAAGCUAAAACUAUAAGCAUGAAGCUUAGUGAGCUCCCCCAAACUACCACAUACCAUACAAUAACAUAUAAAGCACAUACUAGGGCUUGCCCACUGCAUCAGACCGAAGUCUGGAACUAACUAGGGCCUUACCCUCUACAUCGGACCGAAGUCUGGAAUUGACUAGGGCCUUGCCAUCUGCAUCGAACCGAAGUCCAAAACUGAUUAGGGCCUUGCCCACUGCAUCGAACCGAAGUCCGGAACUAACUAGGGCCUUUCCCAUUGCAUCAGACCGAAGUCCGGAACUAACUAGGGCCUUACCCACUGCAUCAGACCAAAGUCCGGAAUUAACUAGGGCCUUGCCCACUACAUCGGACUGAAGUCCGGAUCUGACUGAACAUAGCAUAGUAAAAUCAUAACAUAUAACAAUAACACAUAUACUGCAUACUGCAUCGCACCGCAGUCCGGAACACAUAACACAUAGACAUGCCUGAAUCACAAAGACAUCAAGCAUAUUGAACUACUUCUCUGGACCACCCCGUCAUCAAACCAUAGUCCGAAACUACUGCCAUCUAAACGGGCCGACAUUGUGGCCGUAGCCCAUUCCUACUUGAAGGAAACUCACCUCACAUGCUGAAGUCCCGCUGACAAAACCAUAGCUGCUAGAUGACAGAUUCCCGAUUUGUCAAUAUCAAAAUAACACGUAAUUACUAAUUGGGUUCCAACUCAUAUUCAUAAGUCCAUGCUUGGGUAAGAGACUACCUUACCCCAAUCUUAGCUUGACUCAAGCCCAAGGACCAAUCCAAAGGCCCAAAGGUCUAAUAAUGCACCAAAGCCCAACUAUGGCCCAAUUUUCCCAAUUGGGCCCAAAUCUCUACAUGGUCUUGAUCAAAAGCCCAACCAUUUAGUCUAGUCCAACAUUUGGCAUUUUAAUGGCCCAUUAUUAUAUAACCAUCAAGGCCCAAACUAUGGCCUAAUUUUCCAAAUUGGGUCCAAACCCUCAUAUGGGCCUUACCCUAAGACCAGUUAAUUAUUCUAAUUUGUUUGCUUGCUCUUGGAUGGUCCAUUAUUAUCCCAAUCACCAAGGCCCAAUAGGAAGGCCCAACUCAAGUCCAAGUAAAAUUAGGGUUUCACAUAAAAUGACAAUUAUGGUUAAGUGUUUCUCACUUAACUCAUUAAGGACUUAAUCCAUUAAGUCCUUUACUCUACUAGAUAAAUGAUAUGGAAUAAUUUGGGCUUACUACACAAUCCAAUCCUAAUGGCCCAAAGGUGGGUCCUAAUAAGUCGAAGGCCCAAACACUCACAAUUAGGGAUUUCUACCCAAACAUGGCCCAAUAGGCCCAAAAUUAAUCUGUAAGCCCAUUAGGGUUUUGCUAGGUCCAUUAAGGUUUUGCUUGGGGGCACCACCCACUACCUACUUGGGUAGUGGUGGUCAACGACGGUUCACAGCGGUGGCCACCACCUUACGGUGGUGGUUAUGGUUCUUUUCAUUACAUUUUCUACUAAUUACAAUUACAAGUAUUUAAUCCGUAAAUAAACAUACACACACACACACUAACCACUGUAAAACACACUCAGAAAACGACUCUAUUGGUGGCUGGGGGGNNNNNNNNNNNNNCAGCCACCACCAUGGAGGUGGUGGUGGCUUUUCCUAUGAACUCUAACUAGACAAAACACACACACAUACUUUAGAUUGCACACAACACUCCAGCCACCCACCUGGUGGCUCAAGGGGACAACAACGACGAUAUUGGGAUGGUAGCCACCACCGCACGGUGGUGGCGGUGGUUUCUGUUGGUUCCUAGACAAGCAGCAACACACCUACGCGACUAUGUUUGCAAGGCGCACCCAGCUACCCACCUGGUGGCGUUUGGCAAUGGCAGAAACAACUCAAGCGGCUCAUCGGCGGCAUAACGGUGUCUAACAACGGCGACGAUGUACAGCGGGACAAGGCGGCAACAACAAUGUACCAUUCGAAAGAAAUGGAGAAAAGAGAAGGCUGAGCGAUGGCGAACUGAGCAAGGGAAUGCUCCCGAUCACAGCCAACCUCACAAGGGCCCAUGGCAGUUAGAGGGAAAGCUUCAUCCACAACUGCAACCUCUGCUCGAUAAAGUGAUGGUGGCAAUAACUCGACGGUAGAAGAAACGGAGACGAGGGGGCGGCAGAAAACGAUGGCAAUAGAAAUCAAUAGAAACCACCUUGACAAACAACUGCUCAUCGUCUUCAUCGACCCUUGGUGGUUCUCCGGCAGCAGCAUCGAAAUGGAGACCUUCCAUAGCAGUGUAUCGGUCGACGGUGCUUAAUGGCGAGGCGGUAGGCAUCCCUAUUGAUCGGAAUAGCGAACAGAAGCGAGGUAGUGGCGGCUGACUUCACUCAUGGCGGCUGGAACCUCUGAGGUUUAGGGUUUGGGAGUAAUAAGGUGACGGGAAGGAAAGGUCACCGAGUAUAUCCACUCCAAUACAAACUUCCUUUCACUUUUGUCACAUAUAGCCCCUCCUUAUCAGUUCUUCUUCAAAUUAAGCCCCAAAAUUUACCUUUUAGCCCCCACCCCCAAGAAUCUAUUCAAUAUAAGUCCAUCAUUUACCAUUUAUACCCUGCCUUAUGAAUUCAAUUUCAUAAUAAAUCGUAAUAAUUACCAAACAUACCCCCACUUCUAAAAUCCUUCACAAAUUAAAUCCGGUAAUUUACUAAACAACCCUCAACUAUUAAAAUUCUUCACAAUUUAGUCCGGGAGUUACAUUUAUUAAUUUAUAUGUUUAUUUAUUAAUUAAACGAGGUGUUACAUAUAAUCACAUAUGAUUAAAUGCACGAGACCAACAAAUUGAAUCGAAAACUCAAAAAUGAAUAUUGUCCAUAUUUGUAUUUAAUAAUAUAUGAUUUAUGUGCACAAGAUUUGGUUUUGCGUUCAAAAUUCAAUAGUUGUUCUUUGUCCACAUUUGAAAAUGGAUCAUGUUUACAUAUAAUCAUAUAUGUUUUAUAUGGGAAAUAUUCAUUUUGUGUUUUGGAUUCAAUAUUUAUUAUCGUGUAUUUAAUCACAAGUGAUUAUACAUGAUUAGAAAAUGAAUAUUUUCUAUAUAAAUAAUUUGUGAUUAGAUACAUAUAAUCACAUGUGAAUAUAUGUAUUUAAUCACAUAUGAUUCUGUUGGAUAAGGUGUCUAAGUCCAUAACUUUAUUUUGUAUAUACUUGACCCGACUGGGCAUGGUCCAUUUGGGUUGCACUUCACCCAAACUUUUAUAUGGUUAAACCUUUGAGAAUUGUAUGUUUAUGAUUUGUUAAUAUAUUAUAAGCUAUAAUAUAUUAAUAUGAAAUCAUAUUAUUUAAUUUGUAUUGAUCAUUGGUGACUAAUUAAAUAUGGGCUCUCGUAUUUAUAUAAGUGUGGGCUAAUACUCAUUUGGAAUGGGCUUGGCAUGCAUGGGAGUCCAUGGAGCUUUUAAUCCAUGGAUCCUUAGAAAGGAAGAGUCAUGGGUAUUAGGGUUUACAUGUAUGUAACCAUAAUUCCUCACAUUAUAUAAAGGAGCUUGUGAUGCUUGAAAUGGCACUAGUUGUGUGUAUGCAAAGAGGUGGCCGAUUUCUAUAAGCUAGGAUACACUCUCUUAAGGUUUUUCCAAGUUUGUGGUGAUUUGUGAUUUCCAUUUGAGGCUUCCACAUUAUUGGUGCUUAGCUCUCAAACUCCAAGGAAUCAACUAACUAUUGAAAGGUAUGUAAUUCUUCUAGCCAUUAUGUUUAAUGUUCCCCAUGCCAUGCUAGAUAUGUUAUGAACCUUGGAAAAACAAUAGUUGCAUGUAUUCAUAGUAAAAUAUAGAUCCAAGGUUUUAGGGUUGCAUGAACACCUUAGGAGUGUUAGGAUGCUCAUAACCCAACAGUAGGAAUAGAGCCUAAGAUUUUUUUCUUGAAUACUUGAUGCAAACUGUUGAAAAAAGUCAAAAUUCUUGUUGUCUGCACAGGGACUCGCUGAGUUCUUGGGGGAACUCGACGAGUCCAAGCUUAUAUUCAACCAACUCGGUGAGUGAAUUCUUGCACUCGACGAGUUGGCCAGGCAGAGUGCAAAUUUUCGAUUUUUGCUGCUAGAAAUGGACUAGAAACAUUAACCUAAACUGUUUUGAUGUUUUAAAACCUGUUUUAGACAGUGUAAUUGUUGUUCCAAUCCAUUUACAAUGGCUAAUAUCAAAAUUCCAUGUUUAAAUGUGUUCAUAUGUUCAUAAAAUUUUGAUAUGGAUAUUCAUGUUCUUAUGAGUUAUUGUUAGAUCAUAGGAAUUAAUUUCUAAAUUGUUUAAUGAUUAAUUCUUGAUCAAUUAUGUGUUUUAAUGGAAUCCAUAAUUUGUCCUCAAGUUAUGGAUUUCCAAAGAUCACCUCUUUUAAUGAACAUUUAAACACAUAAGUUACAUAAAAAUGAAGAGUCUUCACUUUUAUGAACCCUUAACUCAUAAGUUAUGAAAUGAAAAACUUUGAAGAGUUUCAAAACUUGCCCUCAAGUUUUGGAAUUUGUAAAGACACACACACUUUAAAUUCCAACACUUAGGAUUAUAAAAGUUAAAAUUCAACCCUUAUACUAUUAUAAGAUUAAUGGUUAAUAUUUAUACAUAUGCAUAAGAUCAAGUCGUUUUACCCUUAGUAGGCCUCAUUCACAAAGCCGGUCUAUAAGGGGGUAUAAGGUUGUUGCCUAUAAAAUGGCAGCUUAAUGGGUGUCCACUCUCACCCACCGCUUCCUUGAUUGGUGGAGGGUCGUUAGCCGAGCGAGUAGGACAAUAACUCUAAUUCUCAUUAAAAGUAUAAUGAUUAUUAUAAAGUAACUAAAUAUUUUAUAAAAUCCCAAUCUUAGUUACUUUAGGAAAAUGUUUAAAUAAGGAAAAAUGUGAUAUGAUUGUUACCAUACUAAUAUGAAUAUAACACGACGAUGAAAUACGUCGGAAGAAAUGACAUUUGGCACCCGUAGACUUGCAAGUCCCACUGUAGCGAACAACACAGGUGUAGGAUAGUCAAUCCAGUAUAAAUCUAUAUGCAAACUCAUGCUCUUCCUCCAUGAGAUUUUGGUUACAAAACGCGACAUAACGAAUUGGUCGAUGUGUCAUGAAGUAGUAUCUCACAUUAUGUUAUCUAUGAAUCUUGUUAUAGUAAUAGUAUUCUAUGUAUAGUAUUCUCUGUAUAGUAUCCUUUGUAUAGUAUUCUCUGUUAUAUUAUUCUCUGUCAAGUAUCCUCCGUCUAGUAUUCUAUGUUAUAGUAUGUAAUAGUAUCUCUUCAUAUAAUAUGUAAUAGUAUCUCUUCAUAUAGUAUGUAGUAUAUUUGUAUAGACUCAUGAAUGAACUGAAUCUUGUGUGAUUCCUUGUACUAGGAAUAGUAAGUAGUAUACCUCUAAACUAUACCUAUUAUAGUUUACUAGUAAUAUAUGUAUAUGAAUGAACAAAAGUAUGCCUUUGCUACCCAAAGGUACUGAACUGACUGAUAGAACUUUUAUCUCUACAUAUGUAUACAUAAUAUGUAACUAAUAUUUAGACGACAUUCGGACAAAUAACCGAUACCCUAAGCCACAUCCAAAGAAGGAAAAGGAAUUAAAGCGAUUUAGCAGUCCUAAGUCCUUUAAACAUUACUUACAUAACUAUACAUAUAUAGGCAUGCAUUUGACAAUAUAAAAGUUUAAAAGAAGUUUUGUAAAACAUUUGAAGAAUUUAAUAAUAAAAUCGAUGACUUGAUGUCAAUUUAUAAAACGAUUUAAAAGCAAUUUGUUGACAUAAACAGUUUAAAGUAUAAGAAACCCUUUGUUUGAAACACAGUUUUGAUAGAAUUUGAAAGGAAAGAUUUAGUAUAGAAAUCAAGUUUGAUAAAUAGUUUAACAUGUAAAAGCGUUUGAGAAAUCAUUUCGAAGUAGUUUGUUUGGCAAAACAACUAAAAGUAUAGUGAAAUCCAUUUGUGUGCUAGUUAUUAAUCACAUGUGAUUGAUAUAAUAACUAGUAUUAUUCAACUUGUAUUCCCCCCAUAAAAGCAUUUAAAAACAUUUAAAAGGUUGAUUAAGGAGUAUGCACUCACCUGUAGUGAUUGGAUUGUAUGGAAGUGUUGGACAAGGUGCUAGGUGUCAAGUGAAGACUUGGACACACACAAUGAUCCUAUUAACAUAUAAAGACAUAUCUAUGCAUUUAAUUAGUGAAUAUCACACUAAUUCAUCAAGUAAAGACACCCUAGAACAAGGAAAACACUUGGAUUCAAGUGUUAUAAGGUCAUAGGGUUGUAUCUAACGGUUGUAAGGCAUUGUUAUUGAGUUUAUGGCCCAAGGACCACUCUCCAUGGAGUUUACGGCCCUAGUGGGUUUACGGCCGUAAACCCAUGGCAAACUCCCCAAAUUCUUGUGUUAAGGUCCUUAGCUGAAAUGUGAAGGGUUCUAGUCCAAGUUCUAAGCAAUUGGAAGGAAGUUAGGGCAACAUUGCACCCUCUUAUGGAGUUUACGGCCUUGGGAGAUGCCUUGUUCGUAAACUCCCUUGCAUUCUAGAUUUCUUGAUGUUUCUAAGGUGUACACAAGUCCAUUCUAGUAUACAACAAGCUAGGACAAGAGUACUUACAAUCUAGAAGCUUGUUUGGGUGUUUAAGGCUUAAGAACACUAGUUUGUGUUCUUGGUGUUUUGAAGAACACUUGAAGAUCUACCCAAAAGAAGAGAUUUCAUGGAUGAAAUCAUGUGUAUUCACUAGAUAUGAAAGGAUAUCAAGUUGAAAAUGGAAAGUUUACUUACUAGAUUGAAGAUUGGAAGCAAAACUCUUGAUGAUACUUGAGAGAAAACCCGAAAUCUAGGCUUGAAAUGGCAAGAAUGAAUGAAAAAUGGCUAUGUUUUUCUUAUAUAGGCAUGGAUUUUACGGCCCCAUGAGUUUACGGCCGUAAACUCAUGGUCUCAUGGCCGUAAACUCCUCAUUUGAGGGUUUAAAGCUUGAUUGGUGGUUUGGAACCCUAGUUGACCCAUUAUAGAGUGUGAUCCUUUGAUGUAUUAAAGAUCAGAAUGCUCAAACAGACUCUAAACUAUGCUAAAAGUUAGCAGGAGUAAGUUUGAAUUUCAAUGAAGUGCUUGACUGUACAUGAUAGGAAAUUUCGGGUUGUCACAUCAUCCCCCCGUUAGAGGGAAUUUCGUCCCGAAAUUAGAGUUUAGGCAAGGAAGUAGGUACGAAUAAUCAAGUAAAAGGGAUGAGGAUAUUUCAGUUUCACUGGUCCUCGCACUCCCAAGUGAAUUCUGGUGCUCACUUGCCGUUCCAGCGAACCUUCACUAUUGGGAUGCGACUUUGUUUCAUCUGCUUGACCUGUCAGUCCAUGGUCAUUACGGUUCUUGCACGAGUUGAGGCUCUUGUUGAUAUCGAUCUCGUCGAGUGGGAUUACAAGAGUCUCGUCAGACAGACACUUUUUCAAGUUCGAGACGUGGAAGGUAGAAUGUACAUUGUUAAGUUCGCGGGGCAAGUUGAGUCUGUAAGCUACAGGGCCGAUUCUAGCAAGAAUCUCGAAAGGCUGUAUGUACCUUGGAUUUAGCUUUCCACGUCUUCCGUAACGUAUCAAGCCUUUCCGGGGUGAGACUUUCAAAGGAACGUGGUCUCCUCCUGGAAUUCCAAAGGUUUCUUUAUCUUGUCAGCGUAGCUUAGAAAUUUGCAAAAUUCUGUAGGUGUCUUUGGUGCUGACUAAUUCUCAACGGUUUUGAUUUUGGAAGGGCCCACUUGAAUUCCCACUUUACUAAUAGUGUGCCUUAGGAAUUCGACUCUUCGAAUCCAAAACUCGCGUUUAGAGAACUUCGCUUAAGGCUUCUCUGAUCGUAAUGUUUCCAAGGUCUGUCGUAGAUGCUUUCAAUGCUCUUUCUUACUACGAGAGUAGAUAAGUAUGUCAUUUAUAAGGACAAUGACGAACUGAUCCAAGUAAGGACGGCAUACCCUAUUCAUUAAGUCCAUGAAUACUACGGGCGCAUUGAUCUUAUCAGAGAGGUAUCACUACGGACUCGUAGUAUCCGCAACGAGUUCGGAAAGCCGUCUUCGGGACAUCCUCCUCUAACACUCGUAACUGGUGAUACUUGGAUCUCAGAUCCAUCUUCGAAAGGUAAAUCGUUCCUUGCGGUUGGUCAAACAAUUUAUCUAUGCGAGACAGAGGGUAACGAUUUCCAAAUGGUAAUCUUGUCGAGGUCUCUAUAGUCGAAGCACAUACUAAACAAUCCGUCUUUCUUCUUAGACGAACUAGACUGGAUCUCCCCAGGGUGAGAAGCUUGGUCAUACAAAGCCUUUGCAACUAAGUCGAUUCUGAACUCGACUUGACGUUAUGGAGGUAAUCCUGGGAGUUCUUCUGGAAAGAUAUCGGGAAGAUCCCAAAAGAAAGUACGAUUACUUAUGAAGUAAGGAAUAUGAUAGGUACUUCUGUUCUAUCUGCAUCUCUUGUCCCUGCUCGGCGAGACGACAUUUGAUUGGAUUCUAAGUUAUCUGCAUGGCAACAUGAUCACUCGUAGUUUUGGGCAGUCUCCGUCCUGAACUUCAUAUUAGAAGUCAUACUUGGUUCAUGAAUCACAGUCUCAUGUAUACGAGUCGUAUAUAAUUAAGAUUGAAAAGAUAGUCGAAUAAAUGAUUCUUCUUGAAGCUCACAUCCAAACAAGGACAAGAAGUUAAAGCGGAAUUAUCAAUUCUAAACCUGUAGAACCUUGAUUCUAUACCACCCUUGUGUAUACCUUUCUCAGCGAUAGAUCAACCGUAUGAGUCUUCGGAUUGAACUUGACGUACAAUACAAGUGGUAUUAUGGGGAGGUUUGCCGAGGUUUCUUCGGGAAGGACAUGAAACAUAAGGUACUAUAUGCAUGAGUAACUCGGAGUUCUGGAAUGACGGCUUCGCUAGAAAGGCGAUUUCGGAGAAAAGAAUUUACGCACGAAGCUGAGGAUUGAAUUGACUCAAGUUGUAUGAUAAUAUCGGACUCACUUGGAAAUAAAGGCAUUAGACUUGAUCAUAAAGGCGUUACAGACAAAACACAACAGUGCAACUUUUAACAGAGUUAUAGUACUUUAGAUUAACUACAAGACUAUUGCUGCGAACAAGGUAUACUACAAAAAGCAAGUAUACGCAGCACGAGAGCCCCUUGACCGGUGGCAUCUCCCAAAAGACAAUACUCGAGUUGCAUUGGUGUUUAACAGUUUAUAAGUCUAUUAUGAUGAAACGUCCUAGAAUUUCAACGUGGGUCCGGAGUAGUCUCUCCUGCGGCAGUGAUCCUUAGUAUCUUUCCGUCUGCGCCAGAGUUCUUUGUUAUUGGACAAUCCUUCUUGAGGUGUCCUAUCUCAUCGCAUUGGUGACAUAUCCGACUUCCACCAUAAUCGGUGGUGGAAGUGAUGUCUCGAGUUGGAGUUAUGAGGACACGAGCGCUUUCGUUGUUCCUCCUUUUCGAAAAAUUCCUUUUAAAGUGUCCAAUUUCACCACAACCAUAACAAGAUUGGUUGACUCCGAUGUCAGGGACUUGAGUGAUGGGUCAUGCCGGUGCUCCACAACUACGAGCAUGGUGUCCUAUUUUUGUGGCAAUUGUAGCAUUGCAUUUCAUGGUAAGCCCCAUUAUGAUGAAUUCAACACUUGUCACACUUCAGGAGUUUUCCCUCGUAUGUUCUGAUCGGUGCUGGAAUGGCAGGGGUUGCCACUUGUUGCUGUUGCAUGGCAAGUCUUUGGGAUCGCUUGCGCUCUUUUUGGGCUUGACGCUUUCGUUUCCUAUUCUCGGUUUUACGGCUUUGCAAGUCUGUGACUGUUAUCAUUUGUUGGUUUCUUGGAUCGAUAUAACGAUCAGAAUUGUCAACCCCUUUGACAACCUUGCUUGCGUUGUUAGCGCUUAGGUUUGCAAGCACAGCUGCCACUGCAGCUGUUACCAUGGCUUGGAAUGUAACGACGUCGAUAUGAAGGAUAGGGAUUUCGUUUCUCGGCUGACUACUUCUGGAUGAUGACAUGAUUCUGUUAUACGAAAGAAAAGGAGUUCAUGAGUGAUUAUGGUUGAACCUAUAUGUAUUUCGAUCAUUCAUGUAAAGAGUAGUAGUAAGUUCUCGAGGGUUUGACCUACAUCCCUAUGAUGCAGUCCUAGUAAAGAGUAGAAGUAAGUUCAUAGAAUGGUCACAAGACGUUUUCUAUUUCGAACUAAAUUAUCAUUGGUGUGAGUAUGACAAGAUCCAACCUUCGACCAGAAUUGGAAGUGAUCCCUGAGUUAAAAUACCAUAGCUCAAUAACUUGACUAGAGUUAGUUUCAGAUAGAAUUCUAAUGAUAGUAUGAUGGAAGUAUUCGGACAAAUAUUGACACAGAAAUUAGCCGACUGUCAAUAUCAUCGAUAUUUAGGAUGUAAUAAGUUCGGGAAAAUUGACCUUGUAGUAGGUCUUACAUCAUAUCUGGAGUAGAAAAGUUUUGACGGCAUAAAGGGCUAACUAAAAGUACUUACGGUACUGGGGUAGUUACACAGAAAGGUGCUACAUAGGACAUAGACAGGAAAAUGAUUCCUUAAAAAAAGGAAGGAAAGUAAAGCAUCUCCUACUGGUGACGGUCAUCCGUCUAGUGAGUGCUUAGUUAAGCCAGUUGACGUUCCAUAUCUAGCAUGUGUCUUUCGUACACCCUCUGGCGUACUCGGAGCUUUAUGACUUCGACUCGAGUUUCAGCUAGUGCUUGCAGCAAAGCCUCGUGGUCUCUCUCAGAUCUCUCACGAGCAUUUUCAAGGUGGGUGGUAUGCAUUCUUGCAUUUUCAAGAUGAGUGGUACGGAUGGUAUGUAUUCUUGCAUUGGCAUCAACCUCUGUGAUGUGAUGAAGAGCUGUCCUGCCCUGGAUUUCGUUUCGGGCAACCCCAUGGACUAGGAUUGGCAGAAACCAGUUUGAUGAGCUUCCCUCGCUCAAGUUAUAGAAACUUCGGUCUCCGUUGAUUGGCAUGGAAUGAUCUUGUUCUUCGCUCCAUGUCUCCAAGCAUUCUAUCCAAGGAGGCGUCGGGCCUUGAAUAGCCGGACGAGGGUUAGGAUUUGGGUUGGCAGCCACAAGGGGCAGGUUCUCAACCUCAAGCUCAGAGUUAGCUCCAUCCGAAAAGCCUUCAGUAUGGUGAUCGUCCAAAGGGAUUGGAUGAUCAUAUUCUGGCUCUUCUCCAAACCAUCUGACAUUGCCUUCGUUCGGGAAAUAUGGGUCGCCAUAGGGAUGGGGUGCAACCAUGCUAUCUACGCGAGAAAUGAGGAUAAAGAAAUAAUUACUAGAUGUACUAUCUGGAUAAUUUUAAGAUAAUCUUCAUCAGUUACUUCAAUAUUUGUGGAGUGCAUACCAUUUAUAUGUAAUCAAAACAGGAUAGGCCUUCGAAUAAGUGACCUUAACUCCAAAUUCACAAGGAACAGGGGGUAAAGCAAAAUUCAUAGAUUCUAAGUCUAUGUCAUCCCAGUUAUAUAUAACCUUAGUGUAUCCACUUAGCAACUAUUGACCUACUAAUGAGGAUCUUUAAUUCUCAACUAAGUAAUUAUAGUAACACAAAAAUACUCCUAAUGUCUUCAUUGUAGUAGUGUUGGCAAGUUUUUAGACUUGUUGCCAUAUCACAACCAUUCUUGGGCAUAUGCUAAUCACUCCUCGGACCAGCAUAGUUGAUCAAGCUAUGCCACACCCAUGACUGACCAUACAUCCCCGAGCUUACUUGUGAUAUUCAACAAUCGUAACACUUUUGUUUUUGUCACUGUGACACUGAUUUUAGUAUGAAUGCAUGCAUGUACACUUAGUUAAAUAUUUUAUUAUUUAAAAGUAUAAACUCUUGGUCAGAGUAUUUUAAUCCCAUUGUAUUUAUAGUCUGUAUAUCUUUUAUGGGUUGAUAUACUCAAUUCACUAUAAACAAUGCUAUGAUACCAAUCUGUCACACCCCAAAACUAAGAACGACGGAAACGUUGUGGGGCGGAGGACGUCAUGUAAAGUAUCACAACAGUGCAAAGUAGUAAACAAGCAACAACAUCAUCCAUUGCAUUAAUAGUAAAAUUUUUAUACAUGAGUGUUCUUUUAUAGAAUAAGACAUGAUAAGUAAUCAAAAUAAAAGAUGAGUCUUGACUGCUCCGUCUUCUCAAACCCUGGUCAUCGUACCUGUCUACUGGUGACCUGAGAGUACAAGUUAUUUUGAAAGCGUAGAUCCACAUUUAAGCUGGUGAAUUCAUAAGUAUUUUAGUGUCAUUGAUUAGUAAACUUGUAAAGAAAAGACUUGUAAAUGUUUAGUGAAAAAGUUUGUAUAAGUAUGAAAACCUAGAAAAUCCCAUAUUUCCUAUUAGUAUAAAAAGUAGUCUUCUACCAAGACCCGACUGUUUUGAAGGUUUGCUUCGCUGUAAAAAUGAAGGUUUUUCCCAUGUAUAACUAUUAUUAUCAAAAUAUCGCCUUAUAUUACCCUUUAUGUGAGAAGAUCACAAUUUGAAUAUAAUGGGAAAUUGUAUAUGUGUACUACAGUAUUAUUUGUAUUAAUCACUGAAGUAAUAACUAUCUUAAAACCAGUGGUUUAAAUAAGGAAAAAUGUGAUAUGAUUGUUACCAUACUAAUCUAACUAUAACACGACGAUGAAAGACGUCGGAAGAAAUGACAUUUGGCACCCAUAGACUUCCAAGUCCCACUGUAGCGAACAUCAAAGGUAUAGGAUAGUCAAUCUAGUAUAGAUCUAUAUGCAAGCUCACGCUCUCCCUCCAGAAGAUUUUGGUUACAAAACGUGACAUAAUGAAAUGGUCGAUGUGUCAUGAAGUAGUAUCUCACAUUAUGUUAUCUCUAAAGCUUGUUAUAGUAAUAGUAUUCUAUGUAUAGUAUUCUCUAUAUAGUAUCCUUUAUAUAGUAUUCUCUGUUAUAUUAUUCUCUGUCUAGUAUUCUCUGUUAUAGUAUCUAAUAGUAUCUCUUCAUAAAGUAUGUAAUCGUAUCUCUUCAUAUAGUAUGUAGUAUAUUUGUAUAGACUCAUGAUGAACUUACUCUUGUGUGAUUCCUUAUACUAGGAAUAGUAAGUAGUAUAGCUCUAAACUAUACCUAUUAUAGUUUACUAGAAAUGUAUGUAAUAGCAUCAUGAUGGCCACUAUGACAGCCGAGCUCCAAAAGUGCUAUGAGGACUAUUAUCCUUUUGAGAUGCACCAGGAUUUGAUGGACCGCUACCAUCAUAGUGCUCGUCAACAGCGAUAUGAAAUAAUCUCCUCCAUGAUAACAACCCAAAUGAAGGAUGGUGAACCCAUCACGGGCCACAUGUAGAAAAUGCAAAGGUAUGUUGACCGUUUGCAGAAAUUGAAUGUGAACUUCCUUGAGGAGUUGGCAAUUGACAUCAUUUUGUACUCCUUACCUUCGUGUUAUGAUCAAUUCCGCAUGACAUACCACAUGAACAAGGAGGAAGUCACACUCAGCAAACUUCAAGGACUUCUGAAGACCACCAGAAGUGGUCUUAAAGGUAUGUCGGUUGUUACUACUCCUAAUCCUACAACUACCCCUGUUUUGGCUAUCGGGCAAGGCAAAGGGAAGAAGAGGAAGGCCCAUUCGAAGGGUACCAAGGGAAAGUAUCUUGAUGGCUCCUCAUCAAGUGGAAUCAAAAGUGGUUCUGCUACUCCUUCUGCCAUACCUAAGGAUGUUGAAUGCUUCUAUUUCCAGAAUAAGGGGCAUUGGAAGCAAAACUGCCCAAAGUACUUGCACAAUGUCAAGGAUGGGAAAGUGAAACCAUCCCAUGCAGGUAUUUACACUAUAUUGUCUAAUAGAUUACCAUAUUCUAAGUCUUGGGUCCUUGAUACAGGUUGUGGUAUUCACAUUUGUUGUGGUUUGCAGGGCCUAAGAAGUGAGG
RNAcentral lists this long non-coding RNA (30134 nucleotides) under Lactuca sativa (garden lettuce). RNAcentral describes it as "long non-coding RNA (LSAT_LNC009496)". Lineage: Eukaryota; Viridiplantae; Streptophyta; Magnoliopsida; Asterales; Asteraceae. The record is from RNAcentral.